RNAcentral lists this ribosomal RNA (460 nucleotides) under uncultured bacterium. Its description in RNAcentral is "partial 16S ribosomal RNA". It matches the Rfam family "Bacterial small subunit ribosomal RNA", at positions 338 to 795 of the family's 1533-position model. The record is from RNAcentral.
CCUACGGGAGGCAGCAGUGAUGAAUAUUGGUCAAUGGCCGAGAGGCUGAACCAGCCAAGUCGCGUGAGGGAAGACGGCCCUACGGGUUGUAAACCUCUUUUGUCAGGGAGCAAUUGGCGCUACGUGUAGCGUUAUCGAGAGUACCUGAAGAAAAAGCAUCGGCUAACCCCGUGCCAGCAGCCGCGGUAAUACGGAGGAUGAGAGCGUUAUCCGGAUUUAUUGGGUUUAAAGGGUGCGUAGGCGGAAUGCCAAGUCAGCGGUAAAAUCGCGGGGCUCAACCUCGCUCCGCCGUUGAAACUGGCGUUCUUGAGUGGGCGAGAAGUAUGCGGAAUGCGUGGUGUAGCGGUGAAAUGCAUAGAUAUCACGCAGAACUCCGAUUGCGAAGGCAGCAUACCGGCGCCCAACUGACGCUGAAGCACGAAAGCGUGGGUAUCGAACAGGAUUAGAUACCCGGGUAGUC